RNAcentral lists this ribosomal RNA (301 nucleotides) under uncultured bacterium. RNAcentral describes it as "partial 16S ribosomal RNA". It matches the Rfam family "Bacterial small subunit ribosomal RNA", at positions 509 to 809 of the family's 1533-position model. The record is from RNAcentral.
CAGCCGCCGCGGUAAUACGUAGGUGGCAAGCGUUGUCCGGAAUUAUUGGGCGUAAAGGGCUCGCAGGCGGUUUCUUAAGUCUGAUGUGAAAGCCCCCGGCCCAACCGGGGAGGGUCAUUGGAAACUGGGAAACUUGAGUGCAGAAGAGGAGAGUGGAAUUCCACGUGUAGCGGUGAAAUGCGUAGAGAUGUGGAGGAACACCAGUGGCGAAGGCGACUCUCUGGUCUGUAACUGACGCUGAGGAGCGAAAGCGUGGGGAGCGAACAGGAUUAGAUACCCCGGUAGUCCCUGUCUCUUAUAA